Molecule: ribosomal RNA, 305 nt
Filed under: uncultured bacterium
Lineage: Bacteria
Description: bacterial SSU rRNA
Rfam family: Bacterial small subunit ribosomal RNA
Source: RNAcentral
UUCCUACGGGACGCAGCAGUGGGGGAUAUUGCACAAUGGAGGAAACUCUGAUGCAGCGACGCCGCGUGAGGGAAGACGGUCUUCGGAUUGUAAACCUCUGUCUUUGGGGAAGAAAAUGACGGUACCCAAAGAGGAAGCUCCGGCUAACUACGUGCCAGCAGCCGCGGUAAUACGUAGGGAGCGAGCGUUGUCCGGAAUUACUGGGUGUAAAGGGAGCGUAGGCGGGAUAGUAAGUUGAUUGUUAAAACUAUCGGCUCAACUGGUAGAUGCGAUCAAAACUGCAAUUCUUGAGUGAAGUAGAGGCA